This 200-nucleotide unclassified non-coding RNA is filed under the name soil metagenome. RNAcentral describes it as "partial contains internal transcribed spacer 2 and large subunit ribosomal RNA". The record is from RNAcentral.
UCCGGCUUGGUGUUGGGCCUGGUCUUUCAGUAGACCGGCCUCAAAGAUAGUGACGGCGUCCCAGAUGGAACCGGUACGAGGAGCUUCUAACCAAGCAUGUAUGCGGCGGGAAUCUGCGGGCGGCGGUCUUUAACCACUACUCUUCGGAGUACUUUCUAAGUGUUGACCUCGGAUCAGGUAGGGAUACCCGCUGAACUUAA